Molecule: ribosomal RNA, 478 nt
Filed under: uncultured bacterium
Lineage: Bacteria
Description: partial 16S ribosomal RNA
Rfam family: Bacterial small subunit ribosomal RNA
Source: RNAcentral
AACAAACGCUGGCGGCGUGCCUAAUACAUGCAAGUCGAACGGGGAAAGCUUUCGGGUGAGUACUAGUGGCGCACGGGUGAGUAAUACGUAGAUAAUCUGCCUUCGAGUUGGGGAUAACUAGUCGAAAGAUUAGCUAAUACCGAAUAAGACCACAAGAACUGAGGUUCUAGGGGUUAAAGGUUUUUCGCUUGAAGAUGAGUCUGCGCGAGAUUAGCUAGUUGGUGUGGUAACGGCUCACCAAGGCAACGAUCUCUAACUGGUCUGAGAGGAUGAUCAGUCACACUGGAACUGUGACACGGUCCAGACUCCUACGGGAGGCAGCAGUAGGGAAUAUUGCACAAUGGGGGAAACCCUGAUGCAGCGACGCCGCGUGAGUGAUGAAGGCCUUCGGGUCGUAAAGCUCUGUCGCAAGGGAAUAAUAAACUGAAUGUACCUUGCAAGAAAGGAUCGGCUAACUUCGUGCCAGCCGCCGCAGUAA